Molecule: long non-coding RNA, 572 nt
Filed under: Mustela putorius furo (domestic ferret)
Lineage: Eukaryota; Metazoa; Chordata; Mammalia; Carnivora; Mustelidae
Description: lncRNA (ENSMPUG00000024237.1)
Source: RNAcentral
CAUCAAUAAACCAUAAUGAGACCUGUUAAGGACUGCAGUGUGAUACACAGCCUGUAAAGUGUCAAAUGCUGCUGGGCUGCUAAAGAUGAAGAAAUUCAGACUUGUAGACCAGAAACGUUUCUUCUUUGUGAAGAGUCCUCCCAAGGUUAAUUACAUAGAAUUUGAAAGAAGAAUUCCGUUUCCAAUUCAUCAUGAAGAUAGAUGAGAUCUUGGAGGAACCUACAAUUCCAAGAUUGGAGCAUCAGGAAGCAAUUUGUCAUAACUGAAGAAACAAGGGCUAUGGAAACAAAUCUGGGCUCUAGUCACUCUUCCACAAUUGAUUUUCAUGAGACUUGGAACAAGACUAUUCUAAGACUUAGCUUAUCGAAGGACCCAUUAAAGAAAAGUUCUGUAAAACUGAACUUUUUCUGAAAAGAGGUGGUUUCAGAUAUUGGGAAAUGAUGUUCAGUUGCUACAUUAAAGAAAAAUAGUUACCUGUGAAAAUUUCUUCGUCCCCAUCAAUCCGCUACUGAGAAGUUUCUCAGGGGAAUACACGUCUGUAUUAGCAAGAAAAACGGAAAUGACUUCUUUAA